Molecule: ribosomal RNA, 460 nt
Filed under: uncultured Bacteroidota bacterium
Lineage: Bacteria; Pseudomonadati; Bacteroidota
Description: uncultured Bacteroidetes bacterium partial 16S ribosomal RNA
Source: RNAcentral
GACUACCGGGGUAUCUAAUCCUGUUUGAUCCCCACGCUUUCGUGCAUGAGCGUCAGUUAUAGCUUAGCUAGCUGCCUUCGCGAUCGGUGUUCUGUGUCAUAUCUAAGCAUUUCACCGCUACAUGACACAUUCCGCCAACUUCAACUAUACUCUAGACUGACAGUAUCAAAGGCAGUUCCACAGUUGAGCUGUGGGAUUUCACCCCUGACUUACCAAUCCGCCUGCGCACCCUUUAAACCCAAUGAAUCCGGAUAACGCUUGCAUCCUCCGUAUUACCGCGGCUGCUGGCACGGAGUUAGCCGAUGCUUAUUCUUCAGGUACCUUCAGCCCCGCUCACGAGCGGGGGUUUAUUCCCUGACAAAAGCAGUUUACAACCCAUAGGGCCGUCUUCCUGCACGCGGCAUGGCUGGUUCAGGCUUGCGCCCAUUGACCAAUAUUCCUUACUGCAGCCCCCCGUAGG